GAGAGUGGGUAGUCCGCACGAGCGCACCCUAUCCUUAGUUGCCAGCACAUUAUGGUGGGGACUCUAAGGAGACUGCCUGGGGUCACCAGGAGGAAGGUGGGGAUGAUGUCAAGUCAGUAUGUCCCUUAUGUCCAGGGCUACACACGUGUUACAAUGGUUGGUACAGAGGGCAGCUAAGCCGCAAGGUGGAGCCAAUCCCCCAAAACCAACCCCAGUUCGGAUUGGAGUCUGCAACUCGACUCCAUGAAGCAGGAAUCGCUAGUAAUCGUGGAUCAGAACGCCACGGUGAAUACGUUCCCGGGUCUUGUACACACCGCCCGUCACGCCAUGGAAGUCAGUAGUACCCGAAUCGGGUGGCCCAACCUUAGGGAGGGAGCUCGUUAAGGUAAGACUGGUAACUGGGGCGAAGUCGUAACAAGGUAGCCGUACCGGAAGGUGCGGCUGGAUCACCUCCUUUU
RNAcentral lists this ribosomal RNA (458 nucleotides) under uncultured delta proteobacterium. RNAcentral describes it as "bacterial SSU rRNA". It matches the Rfam family "Bacterial small subunit ribosomal RNA", at positions 1072 to 1533 of the family's 1533-position model. Lineage: Bacteria; Deltaproteobacteria. The record is from RNAcentral.